Molecule: transfer RNA, 78 nt
Filed under: Alligator sinensis (Chinese alligator)
Lineage: Eukaryota; Metazoa; Chordata; Crocodylia; Alligatoridae
Source: Rfam by way of RNAcentral
UGGUGUAAUGGAUAGCACAUUGGACUUCUAAAUUAGUGAAAAAGGAAGCUAUCCAAAGGUUGUGGGUUCGAGUCACAC